CCAGGGACAGAUGCUACAGCUGAGAAGCACAAAUCAGGGUAUCUUGUGUUGCUACAUGAGGAUUUGAGAAGGGCAUGAGAUGAUGAAGUAUCAUCUUCAUCAUUCUUGUUUGAGUUAACGCCAGUGACAAUGGCAAUUAUAGCGGCAACCAGGAGCAAAGAAGCAAACAGAGAAAGAAAUAGCUUCUUGUGUUUCUUGGAGAAGGAAAUGAGCUUGCUGGUUUCUGGCAUUGCAGUCAAGCUUUGCUUAUCUUGGGUCAUUUUCUAUUACGGUAGCGUAUGC
Molecule: unclassified non-coding RNA, 282 nt
Filed under: Hevea brasiliensis (rubber tree)
Lineage: Eukaryota; Viridiplantae; Streptophyta; Magnoliopsida; Malpighiales; Euphorbiaceae
Source: RNAcentral